AAAAGAACUUUGAAAAGAGAGUUAAAAAGUGCGUGAAACCGUUGGAAGGGAAGCGAAUAGAGUUUGCAAUUCGCCUUGUCGUGCAUGCCCUCGAUCUUUCUAGACGAGCCUUGCACGACUGCGUUGCGUGACCGGUGCACUUCCGCUUGGCGAAAGUCAACGUCGGUUUGCGCGGAGUUAGAAAGCUGCAAGCACGGUAGAUCUUUCGGGAUCGGUAAGGUUUGCGUGCAAAUAGCUUCGUGCGGACCGAGUUCUGUCGCAGCACGUACCUGCAGGUUGAUGUCUUCGUCUUUGACACGGUUUAACGUCGCUCGACGGACGGCUUUGCCUGUGCGUUGGCGUGCGGCCGCUCAAACGAUGGAGGAAACAGACACGACGUGCUAAGGACGUUGACUGCUCGGCGGCUCUAUCCGACCCGUCUUGAAACACGGACCAAGGAGUCUAACAUGUGCGCAAGUCUCCGAGUGAUCGAAACUCGCUGGGCACAAUGAAAGUGAAUGCAGUCUCGGCUGCAGAGAUGAGAGGCUGUCGUAGCGGCAUCAUCGACCGACCUAUUCUAAUCUUAGAAAGGUUUGAGUUAGAGCGCAACUGUUGGGACCCGAAAGAUGGUGAACUAUGCCUGAAUAGGGCGAAGCCAGCGGAAACACUGGUGGAAGCCCGUAGCGAUUCUGACGUGCAAAUCGAUCGUCGAAUUUGGGUAUAGCGGCGAAAGACUAAUCGAACCAUCUAGUAGCUGGUUCCCUCCGAAGUUUCUCACAGGAUAGCUGGAACUCGGUGGCAGUUU
This 784-nucleotide ribosomal RNA is filed under the name Primnoella chilensis. RNAcentral describes it as "eukaryotic LSU rRNA". It matches the Rfam family "Eukaryotic large subunit ribosomal RNA", at positions 367 to 1001 of the family's 3401-position model. The record is from RNAcentral. Lineage: Eukaryota; Metazoa; Cnidaria; Anthozoa; Scleralcyonacea; Primnoidae.